GAUGAACGCUGGCGGCGUGCUUAACACAUGCAAGUCGAACGAAGCGCUUUGGAUGGAUCCUUCGGGUGACGGAAGAAGUGACUUAGUGGCGGACGGGUGAGUAACGCGUGGGUAACCUGCCUCACACAGGGGGAUAACAGUUAGAAAUGACUGCUAAUACCGCAUAAUGUCAUUUAAGGGCAUCCUUGGAUGACCAAAGCUUAAUGUGCUGAAAGAUGGUCUCGCGUCUGAUUAGCUGGUUGGUGAGGUAACGGCUCACCAAGGCGACGAUCAGUAGCCGGUCUGAGAGGAUGAACGGCCACAUUGGGACUGAGAUACGGCCCAG
RNAcentral lists this ribosomal RNA (325 nucleotides) under uncultured bacterium. Its description in RNAcentral is "bacterial SSU rRNA". It matches the Rfam family "Bacterial small subunit ribosomal RNA", at positions 28 to 334 of the family's 1533-position model. The record is from RNAcentral.